Molecule: long non-coding RNA, 861 nt
Filed under: Struthio camelus australis
Lineage: Eukaryota; Metazoa; Chordata; Aves; Struthioniformes; Struthionidae
Description: lncRNA (ENSSCUG00000004451.1)
Source: RNAcentral
GCCACCUCCAUGGCAACAGAUGCUGUCAAAAGCCUCAGGUUCGCUUGGAGGAUGAGGAGUGAAUUGCCAGGAACCAGCAAGCGAGGCUGAAGAACAGAAAUCUGAAGACGGCAGGCAGCUUCAAUACGUGGGAAAAACAGUGAAAAAGCCUAGCGCCACCAGGAUGGAGUAGGCCGUUAACGUAGAUUUGAAAGGGUAGUUCCCAGGUAAUGGAGAGAAGGGGCGAUGGAGAGAGAAGGCUCAUCUUACUCUGAGGCAUCGAGGGACCUGAACCACCUCUUGCGUGGACGAAUGCUCUCCCUGUAGGAGAAAAAGGCAAUUAACGUGUGUGGCGAAGAGCGAGAAGAAACAGCAACCGUGACAGGAAUCGUUAGCUCUGGCUUCUUUUGUGUGGGUACCGCAAGGUCAGAGCUUGAACAAGGGGAAAACCGGCAUAUGUCUUCGCUAACAAGCAUGACAACCAAGUAGCUGAGUCGAUUCAUGUUGCGAUCCAGAGAAACCCUAGUCUUUGACAGGAUCUGGGAAGUGAGGAUUCUGUUUUCCACGACUGCAAACUACCCUUCUUGUUCCCUACCUCUUCUCGAUGUGUGUGCUGCACUGACGUUGAUCUUGGACUGGCGUCCUCUUUGCAUACGUACGCGUUCUCUUCUGCGUCACAUCUCUCAAAAGGAGGCUCUGCACCAUCUCUGUUUCGAACGGAGGCUGUUAGGGAAAAGAGGAAGUCUUUUGGGUCAUCGAAACGAGAGUGGAGUGGGGAAAGCUGAUAUCCGUGUUCUGCUGAAAGACCCACCAACCCUGUCUUCCUCGUUAAAAAUCCAAAAGGUCACCUGUCUGGCCGUAAAACCUUCCCAGAGGGAAAAG